Molecule: ribosomal RNA, 503 nt
Filed under: uncultured bacterium
Lineage: Bacteria
Description: partial 16S ribosomal RNA
Rfam family: Bacterial small subunit ribosomal RNA
Source: RNAcentral
ACGAACGCUGGCGGCGUGCUUCACACAUGCAAGUCGAACGGUGAAGCGCUUGCCUUUUUGGUGGGUGUGGAUGAGUGGCGAACGGGUGAGUAACACGUGAGUAACCUGCCCUCUUCUUCUGGAUAACCUCAUGAAAGUGUGGCUAAUACGGGGUAUUCCGGGUCUGUCGCAUGGCGGGUUUGGGAAAGAUUGCGCCUUUGGGUGUUUUCGGUGGGGGAUGGGCUCGCGGCCUAUCAGCUUGUUGGUGGGGUGAUGGCCUACCAAGGCGGUGACGGGUAGCCGGCCUGAGAGGGUGGACGGCCCCACUGGGACUGAGACACGGCCCAGACUCCUGCGGGAGGCAGCAGUGGGGAAUAUUGCACAAUGGGCGCAAGCCUGAUGCAGCGACGCCGCGUGAGGGAUGGAGGCCUUCGGGUUGUGAACCUCUUUCGCCAGUGAAGCAGGCCUGCUCCUGUGUGGGUGGGUUGACGGUAGCUGGAUAAGAAGCGCCGGCUAACUACGUG